This 310-nucleotide ribosomal RNA is filed under the name Leptospira idonii. Its description in RNAcentral is "bacterial SSU rRNA". It matches the Rfam family "Bacterial small subunit ribosomal RNA", at positions 50 to 372 of the family's 1533-position model. The record is from RNAcentral. Lineage: Bacteria; Pseudomonadati; Spirochaetota; Leptospiria; Leptospirales; Leptospiraceae.
UAAACAUGCAAGUCAAACGGGUAGCAAUACCAGUGGCGAACGGGUGAGUAAUACAUGGAUAACCUACCUUUAAGUUGGGGAUAACACAGAGAAAUUUGUGCUAAUACCGAAUGUGACGGUUCAGCAAAGGCUGGAUUGGUUAAAGCAGCAAUGCGCUUAGAGAUGGGUCCAUGGCUGAUUAGCUAGUUGGUGGGGUAAAGGCCCACCAAGGCGACGAUCAGUAGCCGGCCUGAGAGGGUGAACGGCCACAAUGGAACUGAGACACGGUCCAUACUCCUACGGGAGGCAGCAGUUAAGAAUCUUGCUCAAU